This 720-nucleotide long non-coding RNA is filed under the name Urocitellus parryii (Arctic ground squirrel). RNAcentral describes it as "lncRNA (ENSUPAG00010005389.1)". Lineage: Eukaryota; Metazoa; Chordata; Mammalia; Rodentia; Sciuridae. The record is from RNAcentral.
UGCUGCUUCACCCAGCAGGAGGGACUACCUGGGCUUUAUUAUGACAAAGGGCUUUUAGGAUGCAGGAAAGAAGCGACAUUUUUCUCUUCCCGCCUCUGCCCCUGAGCCCCACCCCCUACUCAUUCCCUGGUCACAAGCCUCCUAUUCUUUUGGUGGAACAAAGAAAAGCGCGCUCUGGCUGAAGUUCACCUUGUGUUUUGCCAGCCUAGGGCAGUCAAUAAACUGCCAUUUGACCUCAGUCUUGCGGGUCAAGCAAAAGUCAGACCUGAAGCCAAGUGCAAUACAAGGGGCCACGUGGAGCUGGGAGAUAAAGAAAACUGGCUUUACACAGGUAAGGUCUAAAUCGUUCUCACUACCUAAUGGAGGAAGGGGACCUCCACUGGUCAUGGGUUCAAAGAAACUCAGAAGAUCGUGUUUCUCAAACUCCAGAGGAGCCAAGGAGAAACCACCUCCAGUAGCUCUCCAGUUCUUGCUGUGCGCUGGCUGUGGGCCCAGCGCUGGGUGUGUGGCCGUUCAACAGUUCAAUGGUUCUACGGUUCAGCAAGAACUGGAAGAUGACCCAAAAAUUGUAGUCCCUCUCAGCACGGCUCUCCGUGGACCUCAGACUCACUGACCAAUGUGGAAAAUUAACCUAAUAACAUCUUUGGAACAGAUCUUAAUACAGAUCAGCCCAUUUGUGGAUGAACAGGUAAAGGCAGAACCACUAUGUAAAAUGUAUAA